RNAcentral lists this ribosomal RNA (3750 nucleotides) under Triticum aestivum (bread wheat). RNAcentral describes it as "partial small subunit ribosomal RNA". Lineage: Eukaryota; Viridiplantae; Streptophyta; Magnoliopsida; Poales; Poaceae. The record is from RNAcentral.
AUGGAGACGGAGAUGGAGGUCUACUCCGGUGCCCCGAGCACCAAGAGGGCGAGGCUCGGGCCACCGGCGACGCCUUCCUCUCGUGGUUUGGCGGUAGCGGCUGAAAGCGGCGAUGGUGCGCCUACUGGAUCCGAGGAUCAAGAAAAGCAGUCUGGUCCGGACCGCAUCAACGACCUCCCGGACGCCAUCCUCGGUGAGGUCAUCUCCCGUCUGUCCACUAAGGAAGGCGUUCGCACUCAAAUCCUCGCACGUCGGUGGCACCCUGUUUGGCGCGCCGCUCCUCUGAAUCUGGACUGCCGUGAGAUCCCUGUCCCACGUCUUUCUAACCCUCUAGAUCAAGUACAUUUCGAGUUGGUCACCGCGAACUCCGCCACACCAGAGGAAUUCGUCUGCGUAACAUACACUGGAACUUUUUUUAGAGGAGAACAUGUCGGUGAAGAUAAUUCCUAUGAUGAUUCGUACCUUCCAGAGGCCAUCCUCUUUGGGCGUCAGAGCGCAGUUCGCCGCCUCUGCAUUCCGGCGUCCUACCUCCACUGCAGGCACUCCACAGUCGACGACUGGCUUCGAUCCCCAAGACUGAACAAUCUCCAGGAAAUUGUUAUAGAAGAUGCCUCGUCACUUCAACGGUUGCUUUGUGAUGGUGAUUGCAAGAAGUUGCAGAUAGUUAUCACCUCUGCACCUAAACUGCAGGUCAUGGGCAAAUUAUCUAAUAUUUUCUGUGAAUCCAGCGUCACAAAUGACCGUAUAAUUAUUCAGUGUCUUCCGACAGUCAGCACAUCCACAUCGGUUCAUUCUAUCAAGACGUUGUCUAUCAGCAUGGAUUAUGACCUGCACGCAGUCUUUUCCUUGGUGGAACACUUCCGAAGCUUGGAGAACUUGUAUAUCGAGGAAAUAGCCUCUAAUGAAGAAAGUCUUGAGAACGUCUGUUCUUGCAAGCACCAUCAUGACGUUCAUUUGAAGUCACUGACGCUGGAAAGCUAUGUUCAAUGCGAGAAAAGCAUUCGAUUUGCGACAUUCUUCAUUAUCAACGCAGCACAGCUGCAGACUAUGAGGAUCAAGUUUCUUCUUCAGGAAGACUUCACGGAAGAAUUCUACAAACAGCAACAAGACUUGCUUCAGUGGGAUAAAAAGGCUUCUAAACAUGCUUGCCUUAGGUUGUCGCCAAGUUGCAACCACGGGAACUUGGAUCUAAGGCACGCAUGCGUUGAGCACCUGGAUUUAAAGGAUCCAUUCACUUGCCAUCCACUCCUCUUGCUGUUCUCCACCCUGACACUCUCCGCCAUGGCUGUGCAAGAUAACACUACUCCAGAGAGCCGUGUCCUGGCACAGGAGGAAAUCUUUGCUGGCCAGGCUUCCUCAUCUGUGAAGAACCGGUGGGAGGCUACGGAAGCUCACCUCUUGAAGAUCGUGGAGAUAUCCACGAGGUUGUAUGAUCUUCUGGAUGAGAAGACGAAGGCGAAGCUCAAACUUGAGUACGACAAGCUCACGCUGGAGACAUACGUUAUGAUAAAAGAGAGAAAUUGCUGCUUUCCAGGCACGCUCAAACUCGUCUUGAUCUAGUUCUUCCUGAUAUGCCACCAGCAGAACCUGUGCCUUGUUCUCGAAAGAGCUUCCUUUAUUGCAGUCUUCAUCGCCUGGUCCUGAGUCGAUGAGAUGGACUCCACCCCACAGCUGUCGGAGACUCAUUCUCAGUCUGUCGAUGGCACGGAGAUUGUCACCCAAGAUUUCAUGGUUCAUGACCAACUAGAGACAAAGAGACUAAGGAUCGAGUUAAAACGUGCAGCGCACAAAAAGCUUGUUGAGGAGUACAGGACAAAGAAGCAGCUUGCUGCCUCGAAAGCUGCUGCAAUGGGUGAAUACGAAGAAGAGUUCAGCACAAAACUUAGCUUCCAGAAAUUCAUUACUGUCUGUGAAAAGCUAACAGAACCACAAAAGCAGCUUGUCAGAGAUAUUGGUUUUGGAUACCUUCUAGAUCUGUGUUGUCGCGAGCUUCCAAGGUGUUUCGUUCGCUGGCUUGUCCGCUAUUUUGAUUGCCCUUCGAGCCUAGACUACUUAGCCGCUCUAGAAGGACCAGCAAGUAACAUAUCAUCAUAUGAUUGGUCCAAUGUUGUCACACAGAAACUGGUGGCAUCACUCCAGACCUUCAAGGACAAAGGAUUCGCAGGCGCCCUGUGUGGCUGCCUCCUGAUUCCAGUGAUAACGUAUUUUGAGUACCUGGAUACGAAGAUUAUGGACCUGGAACCUGACACUCCUGCAAGACUUGUCAUGUGGGACACAGAGGCCAUUAAGAAUUAUGCUAACAUAGACAGCCUGUCAACAGAGGACGGAAUUUUUGGGAAACACACGGCCAAGAUGAAAAUUGCCAAAGUUAUCAAUGAAAUGUACACAGAACUUUUCUCGCGGUUUCAACCAGUUCUCGAGCAGAAAUUGGAGAAGAUCCUUUCACUUGGUAGGGAUCUUAGUGCAAAAGAAACCAAGACCAGAGACCAGAGCGUUUAUUAAUCCCAGAAUCCGUACGACAAAGAGCAGUCCCAAAUUUGUCUAUCUUCACGCCUAAAAUCAUCAACCCAGAUUAAGUUGCUACUGGAAGUGAACAGGAUCGACCACAACAAAGAGGACAUUGAUGAACAAGCCAAGAUUCAUCUGGACAAAGUGCAUAACCAUCUGCACAACUGCCUUGAUGGCUUGCCGGUCCAUGAGCCCUUCGUGUCAACAUUUGAGAUGCUGGAGAGCGGGGCAAUUAUAGUGACAGGUGAAAAUUCAUUUGAGUGUUCUGUACCGAUUGAAACCCAAAAUUCUGUUGGAGGAUCUGCAGACCACAACUCUCUGACAAGCCCACUGGAAAAACUCUUGGAGGAAACAGCAAAACCUACUGCAACAAAAACAUCAGCCUCGCACUCUGUGGUUGACAAACAAUUACUGACUGAUCCAAUCUCAACAGAUACACUUGGAGCACCUGUUUAUCACAUUGGGAAAACGUCACCAACUACUGCACGGUCCAGCGGUUCUGACAGCGCUCACAACAACUCUUCAACCAACACAAAGAGCCUCAUUGUAUCCCAGCCUGCACAAAAAUCAAACAAUGUCACUGGACAACAUUCUUCUUCGCUGCCGGAAGAUAAGCAUCUGUCAAUGCAGAAGACAAUAACAUUGCAGAAGAACAUGAAUAGUGUACAAAGCAACCACCUAUUGAUCCCACAGACAGCGUCCCUAUUACCACAAGCGCACAUCCGCCAGAACCGGAACCACAAAUGGCAGGUCACAAGAGGUCCUUACAGCAGUCAGAAGAUCCAGGUCUUAAUACCUGUGAGAAAGGAUCCACAUUUUAUCUACCUCAUCAUCGUGAAUCUUGCAAUGUGCCACUUCGAAAUUCUGUGUCCUUAUAUCAAUUGCGACGGUAUAAAGGAACACUCGGACAUUGUCAUCGAAAACUUCAAGAGAGCUUACCAUUCUGCUUACAACAACUAUCCUCACACCAUGGCCUCCUUUCAUGUCAAACCUGUGCAGAGUGUAUGUAACUCAGACAGAUAGGAUGACAGUGCUAUUUACACCAUGCAUUUGAUGUCGCUCAUUAAUUUGAAUAAUAAUUCAUUUUUUAUAAAUAAUAUCCAUGUGAAACCGAUGAGAGAACAACUAACUUACAAAAUGAUAACAUCCAACUACAACACAGGCCAUGUAUUUGAGGCACUGAGCAUCGCCCUCGACAAGCACAAUAUCCGGCGCGAAAGAAGAAGAGUUGGAAGAAGAUGA